RNAcentral lists this ribosomal RNA (301 nucleotides) under uncultured bacterium. RNAcentral describes it as "partial 16S ribosomal RNA". It matches the Rfam family "Bacterial small subunit ribosomal RNA", at positions 509 to 809 of the family's 1533-position model. The record is from RNAcentral.
CAGCAGCCGCGGGAAUACGAAGGGUGCAAGCGUUACUCGGAAUUACUGGGCGUAAAGCGUGCGUAGGUGGUGGUUUAAGUCCGUUGUGAAAGCCCUGGGCUCAACCUGGGAAUUGCAGUGGAUACUGGGUCGCUAGAGUGUGGUAGAGGAUAGUGGAAUCUCCGGUGUAGCAGUGAAAUGCGUAGAGAUCGGAAGGAACAUCUGUGGCGAAGGCGACUAUCUGGGCCAACACUGACACUGAGGCACGAAAGCGUGGGGAGCAAACAGGAUUAGAUACCCCCGUAGUCCCUGUCUCUUAUAA